This 996-nucleotide long non-coding RNA is filed under the name Felis catus (domestic cat). RNAcentral describes it as "lncRNA (ENSFCAG00000048472.1)". The record is from RNAcentral. Lineage: Eukaryota; Metazoa; Chordata; Mammalia; Carnivora; Felidae.
CCAGCUGUAUCAGAAGCAUAGAAAGCAGGAAAACACCGAUCUGAACCUGCACCAGAUGCAAACGGAAAGACCAAAGAACUGGAAGAAGCAAGAGGAAUUCAGAGAGGCUUACAAAAGAAAAGCCCAGGCUCAUAUUUCCACCCCCACUGCAUGGCAUGAGGAAGAAUGGAGACCCUGUAGAAUGUCCAGGGAUUGGGACCCUAGUGGAGAUUUGAAUCUCGUGAGGAACGCAAAAAAUGGACGUGGGCAGAAGUGAUACAUUCCACUCCCAAGAUUACCCCAAGAAAACUUCCCAUGCAGCUCUCAACAUUCUCUUCCCCCUCUGUCACCUAGACACAGGCGCCAGGGUGACCUCGGAAGCCGCGUGUUAAAGACACCGCAGCCUGCAUCACACCGGUCCCUGAAUGCUCGAGACACCCCCAGACCCCUUUCAGACCUGCCAGUUGGACUUUAUGUGAACAACAAAAACCCUAUUUGUCCACUGAGAUUUCAGGAUUUUACUGUUACAGCAGCUAAUGCUUCCUUAACUAAUACAUAUAUGUAGGCACUGCUGUGGCGAACAAGAUAAACAUUCAUUUUGUUUUUCAUUCUGGCAAGAACGUUUAACAGGAGGGUAUGCAUUCAUGUAAAAAGCAACUCCAAGUUCAGAGGUUUUUCCUUGCUGUGUAUUUUCUUCAAAAACACUUCACUGACCAUUUCUAACAAUUCCAGGCACUGAGUUAGAUGUGACAUAUACAGAGGGAAACCGGUCAGUCUCUGGCCUCAAGCCUACAGUGAACCAAGAUGGCAGACACAGAAGAAAUAUACAAGUGCCUCAUUACAAAACUGCAAGUGCUUGAAGCAAACAGAGCACUGGGAGAGUCACAGAAGAGACCUAAUGCGCAAGGGGAGCAGAGGGCCAGGUUCUUCUGGGGAAGAGAUAUUUAAGCUGGAGAACACAGAUGGAUGAGUGUCAACUGAUUAAUUAAAAAUAAAGAGGGGCACCUGGCUAGCUCA